CUCAGAGUGAACGCUGGCGGCAGGCCUAACACAUGCAAGUCGAACGGCAGCACAGCAGUAGCAAUACUGUGGGUGGCGAGUGGCGGACGGGUGAGGAAUACAUGGGAAUCUGCCCUGUCGUGGGGGAUAACGUAGGGAAACUUACGCUAAUACCGCAUACGACCGGAAGGUGAAAGCGGCGGACCGCAAGGCGUCGCGCGACUGGAUGAGCCCAUGUCGGAUUAGCUAGUUGGCGGGGUAAAGGCCCACCAAGGCGACGAUCCGUAGCUGGUCUGAGAGGAUGAUCAGCCACACUGGAACUGAGACACGGUCCAGACUCCUACGGGAGGCAGCAGUGGGGAAUAUUGGACAAUGGGCGCAAGCCUGAUCCAGCCAUGCCGCGUGAGUGAAGAAGGCCUUCGGGUUGUAAAGCUCUUUUGUCCGGAAAGAAAAGCUGCCGGUUAAUACCCGGUGGUU
Molecule: ribosomal RNA, 456 nt
Filed under: soil bacterium 13G-06
Lineage: Bacteria
Description: bacterial SSU rRNA
Rfam family: Bacterial small subunit ribosomal RNA
Source: RNAcentral